UACGGAGGGGGCUAGCGUUGUUCGGAAUACUGGGCGUAAAGCGCACGUAGGCGGAUUGGAAAGUCAGAGGUGAAAUCCCAGGCUCAACCUUGGAACUGCCUUUGAAACUCCCAGUCUUGAGUUCGAGAGAGGUGAGUGGAAUUCCGAGUGUAGAGGUGAAAUUCGUAGAUAUUCGGAGGAACACCAGUGGCGAAGGCGGCUCACUGGCUCGAUACUGACGCUGAGGUGCGAAAGCGUGGGGAGCAAACAGG
This 251-nucleotide ribosomal RNA is filed under the name uncultured bacterium. Its description in RNAcentral is "partial 16S ribosomal RNA". It matches the Rfam family "Bacterial small subunit ribosomal RNA", at positions 524 to 776 of the family's 1533-position model. The record is from RNAcentral.